This 253-nucleotide ribosomal RNA is filed under the name uncultured bacterium. Its description in RNAcentral is "partial 16S ribosomal RNA". It matches the Rfam family "Bacterial small subunit ribosomal RNA", at positions 524 to 776 of the family's 1533-position model. The record is from RNAcentral.
GACGUAGGGGGCGAGCGUUGUCCGGAAUCACUGGGCGUAAAGAGCUCGUAGGCGGGGUCGUUAGUCUUGGAGUAAAUCCAACUGCUUAACGGUUGGUCUUUCCGAGAUACGGCGACUCUUGAGGACAGGAGAGGAAAGCGGAAUUCCGAGUGUAGCGGUGAAAUGCGUAGAGAUUCGGAGGAACACCAGUGGCGAAGGCGGCUUUCUGGCCUGAUUCUGACGCUGAGGAGCGAAAGCCAGGGGAGCGAACGGG